RNAcentral lists this ribosomal RNA (241 nucleotides) under uncultured bacterium. RNAcentral's name for it is "partial 16S ribosomal RNA". It matches the Rfam family "Bacterial small subunit ribosomal RNA", at positions 95 to 334 of the family's 1533-position model. The record is from RNAcentral.
CCGGCGCACGGGUGAGUAACGCGUAUCCAACCUGCCUUACACUCUUGGACAGCCUUCUGAAAGGAAGAUUAAUCCAGGAUGGGAUCAUGAGUUCACAUGUCCGCAUGAUUAAAGGUAUUUUCCGGUAGACGAUGGGGAUGCGUUCCAUUAGAUAGUAGGCGGGGUAACGGCCCACCUAGUCAACGAUGGAUAGGGGUUCUGAGAGGAAGGUCCCCCACAUUGGAACUGAGACACGGUCCAA